UAUCGCACACUAGCGAGAGCUUUAAUGUGACUAUUAUUGGGCUAUAUUUCAUAAAACAGUACACUAGACGGCGCAUUAUACUUCUAUCAGAUAUAGACGUUUCUUUCGCGAAAGAAGAUGGCGGAAAAGAUGGAAACUUCUCUUCCCCAAGUACCAGAAAAUCUAUUGAAAAAACAAAAAAAGAGAGCAGAAAUUAAA
Molecule: long non-coding RNA, 198 nt
Organism: Centruroides sculpturatus (bark scorpion)
Lineage: Eukaryota; Metazoa; Arthropoda; Arachnida; Scorpiones; Buthidae
Exons: 2
Source: RefSeq, a predicted model, not a curated record